This 677-nucleotide long non-coding RNA is filed under the name Chrysolophus pictus (golden pheasant). RNAcentral's name for it is "lncRNA (ENSCPIG00010002495.1)". Lineage: Eukaryota; Metazoa; Chordata; Aves; Galliformes; Phasianidae. The record is from RNAcentral.
AUGAAUGGGACGGCCAACUUGGCCCCGACCGCCCGUGGCCACUUCACCUCCGCCAUCCCGGUGCCACGAUCCACGACCCCCAACAAACCGCCUUCUGCGCCCCCCCCUGCCCGGCACAGCGCCCCAGCCCCCCCUGCCUCCCACCGGGCCACAUCCCCACGGCCAGCAGCACCCCCCGGCUCCAAAAGCCUCAAACCCAGGCCCAGAGCUUCAGGCCGUGAGGCAACCGAGAGCCCAGGUGUACCCCCCCAUGGGGGGCAGAGAGCCCCAGUGCUCCCCGGGAAGGGAGUGGGGGGAAGCCGGGUGGAGUGCAGCCUAAGGGGGCCUGGGGCCCAACGACCCCUCGGGAUGGCAGUGGAGGAUGGACCCAACGCUGGCCCUAUGAGCAGGAGCCCCAUGUUCGGGUCAGGGACCAUCAGCUUCUCAUCAGCUUCCCCGCAGAGCCGCCCUGUGACAGCCACUGUUGCCCCAUUCCAGUACAGGCUGCAGGAGAAUGGAGAGCAGAAUGCCACAUCCCUGUGUGACACCGCUCCUGCUGAGGUGCCCGACCCCAAAUCCAGAGCCAUGACAGCCCCCGGCGGGUUAAAUGAUUGCAGCGCGGGGAUGCUGGGGAGCAACCUCAAGAGCCUUCCCGACGUGGAGCUGGGCGAGGAGGGCGCGGCGGAGCUGCGCGGCUU